This is a non-coding RNA of Cristinia sonorae, 142 nucleotides long. NCBI's taxonomy places the organism in Eukaryota, Fungi, Basidiomycota, Agaricomycetes, Agaricales, Stephanosporaceae. The record is from the annotation of a GenBank genome assembly.
UGCCCCAUGGCUGAGUUGGUUACAGCGUCCGACUGUUAAAAAGUUUCCGCGAAGGUUUCUCCGCACGCCAUCUUUGGGUGUGUGUGGUUUUCGUGUGGCUUGGAUCAUCGGAAGGUCGUGAGUUCGAGCCUCACUGGGGCAG